Molecule: ribosomal RNA, 1503 nt
Filed under: uncultured bacterium
Lineage: Bacteria
Description: bacterial SSU rRNA
Rfam family: Bacterial small subunit ribosomal RNA
Source: RNAcentral
GAUGAACGCUGGCGGCGUGCCUAAUACAUGCAAGUCGAGCGAACAGACGAGGAGCUUGCUCCUCUGAAGUUAGCGGCGGACGGGUGAGUAACACGUGGAUAACCUACCUAUAAGACUGGGAUAACUUCGGGAAACCGGAGCUAAUACCGGAUAACAUGUUGAACCGCAUGGUUCAACAGUGAAAGAUGGUCUUGCUGUCACUUAUAGAUGGAUCCGCGCCGCAUUAGCUAGUUGGUAAGGUAACGGCUUACCAAGGCAACGAUGCGUAGCCGACCUGAGAGGGUGAUCGGCCACACUGGAACUGAGACACGGUCCAGACUCCUACGGGAGGCAGCAGUAGGGAAUCUUCCGCAAUGGGCAAAAGCCUGACGGAGCAACGCCGCGUGAGUGAAGAAGGUCUUCGGAUCGUGAAACUCUGUUAUUAGGAAAGAACAAAUGUGUAAGUAACUAUGCACGUCUUGACGGUACCUAAUCAGAAAGCCACGGCUAACUACGUGCCAGCAGCCGCGGUAAUACGUAGGUGGCAAGCGUUAUCCGGAAUUAUUGGGCGUAAAGCGCGCGUAGGCGGUUUUUUAAGUCUGAUGUGAAAGCCCACGGCUCAACCGUGGAGGGUCAUUGGAAACUGGAAAACUUGAGUGCAGAAGAGGAAAGUGGAAUUCCAUGUGUAGCGGUGAAAUGCGCAGAGAUAUGGAGGAACACCAGUGGCGAAGGCGACUUUCUGGUCUGUAACUGACGCUGAUGUGCGAAAGCGUGGGGAUCGAACAGGAUUAGAUACCCUGGUAGUCCACGCCGCAAACGAUGAGUGCUAAGUGUUAGGGGGUUUCCGCCCCUUAGUGCUGCAGCUAACGCAUUAAGCACUCCGCCUGGGGAGUACGACCGCAAGGUUGAAACUCAAAGGAAUUGACGGGGACCCGCACAAGCGGUGGAGCAUGUGGUUUAAUUCGAAGCAACGCGAAGAACCUUACCAAAUCUUGACAUCCUCUGACCCCUCUAGAGAUAGAGUUUUCCCCUUCGGGGGACAGAGUGACAGGUGGUGCAUGGUUGUCGUCAGCUCGUGUCGUGAGAUGUUGGGUUAAGUCCCGCAACGAGCGCAACCCUUAAGCUUAGUUGCCAUCAUUAAGUUGGGCACUCUAAGUUGACUGCCGGUGACAAACCGGAGGAAGGUGGGGAUGACGUCAAAUCAUCAUGCCCCUUAUGAUUUGGGCUACACACGUGCUUCAAUGGACAAUACAAAGGGUAGCGAAACCGCGAGGUCAAGCAAAUCCCAUAAAGUUGUUCUCAGUUCGGAUUGUAGUCUGCAACUCGACUGCAUAAAGCUGGAAUCGCUAGUAAUCGUAGAUCAGCAUGCUACGGUGAAUACGUUCCCGGGUCUUGUACACACCGCCCGUCACACCACGAGAGUUUGUAACACCCGAAGCCGGUGGAGUAACCUUUUGGAGCUAGCCGUCGAAGGUGGGACAAAUGAUUGGGGUGAAGUCGUAACAAGGUAGCCGUAUCGGAAGG